RNAcentral lists this transfer RNA (73 nucleotides) under Felis catus (domestic cat). It matches the Rfam family "tRNA". From Rfam's summary of the family: Transfer RNA (tRNA) molecules are approximately 80 nucleotides in length. Their secondary structure includes four short double-helical elements and three loops (D, anti-codon, and T loops). Further hydrogen bonds mediate the characteristic L-shaped molecular structure. tRNAs have two regions of fundamental functional importance: the anti-codon, which is responsible for specific mRNA codon recognition, and the 3' end, to which the tRNAs corresponding amino acid is attached (by aminoacyl-tRNA synthetases). tRNAs cope with the degeneracy of the genetic code in two manners: having more than one tRNA (with a specific anti-codon) for a particular amino acid; and 'wobble' base-pairing, i.e. permitting non-standard base-pairing at the 3rd anti-codon position. Lineage: Eukaryota; Metazoa; Chordata; Mammalia; Carnivora; Felidae. RNAcentral also lists the same sequence under 2 other names. The record is from Rfam by way of RNAcentral.
GCCUGGCUGGCUCAGUCGGUAGAGCACGCGACUCUUAGUCUCGCUGUUGUGUGUUUGAGCCUCACGUUGGGUG